Molecule: unclassified non-coding RNA, 449 nt
Filed under: Hevea brasiliensis (rubber tree)
Lineage: Eukaryota; Viridiplantae; Streptophyta; Magnoliopsida; Malpighiales; Euphorbiaceae
Source: RNAcentral
AAAGAGAGAGGCCAGUACAAGAUCAAGGCAUAGAAUAAGCUCAAUAUAUCAUUAGAAUACAAAUCAGAAAGGAGAUCUAAAGAACAACUAGCUUCCACAUUAUAAACGGCCCAAGGCCCAUAAUCACAAACCCUGGAGCUAACAGAGAAAGAUAAGACAAACAAACCACAGGACCGCUAGACUUCCAUCGCCACCUUGAAGAGGAUCAUCGGGUUCUCGAAUGGAAACAACAAACCAACAAAGCUCAAACCUAAGAAGCCACCUUCAAAAAAGAAAAAAAGGUAAGUCCUUCAAAGACGAAAUCAACUAGAUUCGACGAUCUGCAAGGAGAGUCGACAGGCAAAGCUCAUGUUGCUUAUGUGCGUUAGAGGGUAAUGGAACUCCAGAGAUGCCCAUCCUCACGAUACUAGAGCACCCUCUCGCGAGCUAAGUCAGAUGCAAACGCCAAG